GUAUUGAAGUGUUAUAGCCUUUGGUAGAUGUGAUGUUUGAGACCGAGGAUUGCAACGGAUACCCUUCAGGGCUAUUCGUCUGAUCUCUGAUACGUUGCCUUGAUGCUGAAAGCUUGCUUAUGAUGUUAGGGUAUUACGGUCAAAAGGUUAGAACGAAUUACA
RNAcentral lists this ribosomal RNA (162 nucleotides) under uncultured Funneliformis. RNAcentral describes it as "partial large subunit ribosomal RNA". The record is from RNAcentral. Lineage: Eukaryota; Fungi; Glomeromycota; Glomeromycetes; Glomerales; Glomeraceae.